GUGAAAUCCCCGGGCUCAACCUGGGAACUGCAUCUGAUACUGGCAAGCUUGAGUCUCGUAGAGGGGGGUAGAAUUCCAGGUGUAGCGGUGAAAUGCGUAGAGAUCUGGAGGAAUACCGGUGGCGAAGGCGGCCCCCUGGACGAAGACUGACGCUCAGGUGCGAAAGCGUGGGGAGCAAACAGGAUUAGAUACCCUGGUAGUCCACGCCGUAAACGAUGUCGACUUGGAGGUUGUGCCCUUGAGGCGUGGCUUCCGGAGCUAACGCGUUAAGUCGACCGCCUGGGGAGUACGGCCGCAAGGUUAAAACUCAAAUGAAUUGACGGGGGCCCGCACAAGCGGUGGAGCAUGUGGUUUAAUUCGAUGCAACGCGAAGAACC
Molecule: ribosomal RNA, 377 nt
Filed under: Escherichia coli
Lineage: Bacteria; Pseudomonadati; Pseudomonadota; Gammaproteobacteria; Enterobacterales; Enterobacteriaceae
Description: bacterial SSU rRNA
Rfam family: Bacterial small subunit ribosomal RNA
Source: RNAcentral